UGGUAACUUACCUGGCCUUGUUUU
RNAcentral lists this non-coding RNA (24 nucleotides) under Rattus norvegicus (Norway rat). Lineage: Eukaryota; Metazoa; Chordata; Mammalia; Rodentia; Muridae. The record is from RNAcentral.